RNAcentral lists this transfer RNA (76 nucleotides) under Lysobacteraceae bacterium. RNAcentral's name for it is "tRNA-Thr". It matches the Rfam family "tRNA". Rfam says of the family: Transfer RNA (tRNA) molecules are approximately 80 nucleotides in length. Their secondary structure includes four short double-helical elements and three loops (D, anti-codon, and T loops). Further hydrogen bonds mediate the characteristic L-shaped molecular structure. tRNAs have two regions of fundamental functional importance: the anti-codon, which is responsible for specific mRNA codon recognition, and the 3' end, to which the tRNAs corresponding amino acid is attached (by aminoacyl-tRNA synthetases). tRNAs cope with the degeneracy of the genetic code in two manners: having more than one tRNA (with a specific anti-codon) for a particular amino acid; and 'wobble' base-pairing, i.e. permitting non-standard base-pairing at the 3rd anti-codon position. Lineage: Bacteria; Pseudomonadati; Pseudomonadota; Gammaproteobacteria; Lysobacterales; Lysobacteraceae. The record is from RNAcentral. RNAcentral also lists the same sequence under 2 other names.
GCUCAUGUAGCUCAGUCGGUAGAGCACUUCCUUGGUAAGGAAGAGGUCACUGGUUCGAUUCCAGUCAUGAGCACCA